AGCGAACGCUGGCGGCAGGCCUAACACAUGCAAGUCGAGCGCCCCGCAAGGGGAGCGGCAGACGGGAGAGUAACACGUGGGAACGUACCCUUUGGUUCGGAACAACCCAGGGAAACUUGGGCUGAUACCGGAUAAGCCCUCCCGGGGAAAGAUUUAUCGCCGAAGGAUCGGCCCGCGUCUGAUUAGCUAGUUGGUGAGGUAACGGCUCACUAAGGCGACGAUCAGUAGCUGGUCUGAGAGGAUGAUCAGCCUCACUGGGACUGAGACACGGCCCAGACUCCUACGGGAGGCAGCAGUGGGGAAUAUUGGACAAUGGGCGCAAGCCUGAUCCAGCCAUGCCGCGUGGGUGAUGAAGGCCCUAGGGUUGUAAAGCCCUUUCGGCGGGGAAGAUAAUGACGGUACCCGCAGAAGAAGCCCCGGCUAACUUCGUGCCAGCAGCCGCAGUAA
RNAcentral lists this ribosomal RNA (447 nucleotides) under uncultured bacterium. RNAcentral's name for it is "partial 16S ribosomal RNA". It matches the Rfam family "Bacterial small subunit ribosomal RNA", at positions 29 to 523 of the family's 1533-position model. The record is from RNAcentral.